GUGAAUCAUCAAAUCUUUGAACGCAAAUUGCACUCUCUGGUAUUCCGGGGAGUAUGCUUGCUUGAGGGUUAGUUUGUUACAAUCGUAAAAAGAAAUUUUUACGGGUUUGGAUUUUCCAAAAGUUAUAUUUUUGUUAAUCUAAAAUUAAUCAUAACAAUGGGUAAUAUUGGAAAUGUUUAUUUUUGAUUAAUUACCAAUUAUUACCAAAUUGGUUACGUGGUUUUAUUUUCUUAUUUUCUUAUUAAGUUAAAGGUAAUCAAUUUUUUCUUUUGAAUUCUGACCUAA
Molecule: unclassified non-coding RNA, 285 nt
Filed under: Acaulospora lacunosa
Lineage: Eukaryota; Fungi; Glomeromycota; Glomeromycetes; Diversisporales; Acaulosporaceae
Description: partial contains 5.8S ribosomal RNA and internal transcribed spacer 2
Rfam family: 5.8S ribosomal RNA (bases 1-71)
Source: RNAcentral